RNAcentral lists this long non-coding RNA (2293 nucleotides) under Salmo salar (Atlantic salmon). RNAcentral's name for it is "lncRNA (ENSSSAG00000090518.1)". Lineage: Eukaryota; Metazoa; Chordata; Actinopteri; Salmoniformes; Salmonidae. The record is from RNAcentral.
CUCCAAUCAAGUUGUAGAAACAUCUCAAGGUUGAUCAAUGGAAACAGGAUGCACCUGAGCAAAAUUUUGAGUCUCACAGCAACGGGUCUGAAUACUUUUGUAAAUAAGGUAUUUCUGCUUUUAUAAAUUUGCAAAAAUGUUUAAAACCUGUUUUUGCUUCGUCAUUAUGGGUGAUUGUGUGUAGAUUUAUGAGGGAAAAACAUAUUUAAUCCAUUUUAGAAUAAGGCUGUAAUGUAACAAAAUGUGAAAAAAGUACUGGGGUCUGAGAACUUUCCAAACACCAUGUAUGUACAGUUAACUGCCAAAAUAAAGGAAACACCAAGAUAAAGUGUCUUAAUAGGGGUAAUAGAGUGCCUUAAUAGGGGUUAAUAGGGGUUAAUAGGGUGUAUUAAUAGGGGUUAAUAGGGGCUAAUAGGGGUUAAUAGAGUGUAUUAAUAGGGGUUAAUAGAGUGUCUUAAUAGGGGUUAAUAGAGUGCCUUAAUAGGGGUUAAUAGGGGUUAAUAGGGUGCCUUAAUAGGGGUUAAUAGGGGUUAAUAGGGUGUAUUAAUAGGGGUUAAUAGAGUGCCUUAAUAGGGGUUAAUAGAGUGCCUUAAUAGGGGUUAAUAGAGUGUAUUAAUAGGGGUUAAUAGGGGCUAAUAGGGGUUAAUAGGGUGUAUUAAUAGGGGUUAAUAGAGUGUCUUAAUAGGGGUUAAUAGAGUGUAUUAAUAGGGGUUAAUAGAGUGUAUUAAUAGGGGUUAAUAGGGGUUAAUAGGGGUUAAUAGGGUGUAUUAAUAGGGGUGAAUAGAGUGCCUUAAUAGGGGUUAAUAGAGUGCCUUAAUAGGGGUUAAUAGAGUGUAUUAAUAGGGGUUAAUAGGGGCUAAUAGGGGUUAAUAGGGUGUAUUAAUAGGGGUUAAUAGAGUGUCUUAAUAGGGGUUAAUAGAGUGUAUUAAUAGGGGUUAAUAGGGGUUAAUAGGGUGUAUUAAUAGGGGUUAAUAGGGGCUAAUAGGGGUUAAUAGGGUGUAUUAAUAGGGGUUAAUAGAGUGUCUUAAUAGGGGUUAAUAGAGUGUCUUAAUAGGGGUUAAUAGAGUGUAUUAAUAGGGGUUAAUAGGGGUUAAUAGGGGUUAAUAGGGUGUAUUAAUAGGGGUUAAUAGAGUGUCUUAAUAGGGGUUAAUAGAGUGCCUUAAUAGGGGUUAAUAGAGUGUAUUAAUAGGGGUUAAUAGGGGCUAAUAGGGAUUAAUAGGGGUUAAUAGAGUGUCUUAAUAGGGGUUAAUAGAGUGUCUUAAUAGGGGUUAAUAGAGUGUAUUAAUAGGGGUUAAUAGGGGUUAAUAGGGGUUAAUAGGGUGUAUUAAUAGGGGUUAAUAGGGGUUAAUAGAGUGUAUUAAUAGGGGUUAAUAGAGUGUCUUAAUAGGGGUUAAUAGAGUGUAUUAAUAGGGGUUAAUAGGGGUUAAUAGGGUGUAUUAAUAGGGGUUAAUAGGGGCUAAUAGGGGUUAAUAGGGUGUAUUAAUAGGGGUUAAUAGAGUGUCUUAAUAGGGGUUAAUAGAGUGUCUUAAUAGGGGUUAAUAGAGUGUAUUAAUAGGGGUUAAUAGGGGUUAAUAGGGUGUAUUAAUAGGGGUUAAUAGGGGCUAAUAGGGGUUAAUAGGGUGUAUUAAUAGGGGUUAAUAGAGUGUCUUAAUAGGGGUUAAUAGAGUGUCUUAAUAGGGGUUAAUAGAGUGUAUUAAUAGGGGUUAAUAGGGGUUAAUAGGGGUUAAUAGGGUGUAUUAAUAGGGCUUAAUAGGGGUUAAUAGAGUGUAUUAAUAGGGGUUAAUAGAGUGUCUUAAUAGGGGUUAAUAGAGUGUAUUAAUAGGGGUUAAUAGAGUGUAUUAAUAGGGGUUAAUAGAGUGUAUUAAUAGGGGUUAAUAGAGUGUAUUAAUAGGGGUUAAUAGAGUGUAUUAAUGGGGGUUAAUAUGGGUUAAUAGAGUGUAUUAAUAGGGGUUAAUAGAGUGUAUUAAUAGGGGUUAAUAGAGUGUAUUAAUAGGGGUUAAUAGAGUGUCUUAAUAGGGGUUAAUAGAGUGUCUUAAUAGGGGUUAAUAGAGUGUAUUAAUAGGGGUUAAUAGAGUGUAUUAAUAGGGGUUAAUAGAGUGUAUUAAUAGGGGUUAAUAGAGUGUAUUAAUAGGGGUUAAUAGAGUGUAUUAAUAGGGGUUAAUAGGGGUUAAUAGAGUGUAUUAAUAGGGGUUAAUAGAGUGUAUUAAUAGGGGUUAAUAGGGGUUAAUAGGGGUUAAUAGAGUGUAUUAAUAGGGGUUCAUUUUCAUUCAUUUUUAGUCAUUUAGCAGACGCU